UCCCGUCAGGGGUUUUAGAGCGAUGAAGUCCGGAAGGAAGUAAAGCUCUUUUAACCCGAGACGAUAAUGACGGUACCGGAAGAAGAAGCCCCGGCUAACUUCGUGCCAGCAGCCGCGGUAAUACGAAGGGGGCAAGCGUUAUUCGGAAUUACUGGGCGUAAAGGGCACGUAGGCGGAUGGAACAGUCAGAGGUGAAAUCCCAGGGCUAAAACCUGGGAAGAGCAAAAGAAAAUGUCGGGAUAGAGUAUGGCAGAGGUGAGUAGAAUUCCAAGAGUAGCGGGGAAAU
This 286-nucleotide ribosomal RNA is filed under the name uncultured Rhizobium sp. RNAcentral's name for it is "partial 16S ribosomal RNA". It matches the Rfam family "Bacterial small subunit ribosomal RNA", at positions 386 to 687 of the family's 1533-position model. The record is from RNAcentral. Lineage: Bacteria; Pseudomonadati; Pseudomonadota; Alphaproteobacteria; Hyphomicrobiales; Rhizobiaceae.